CCUUUUUGAGUUGGUGAUCCUUCUCAUAGGUCUGCAGUAAACCUAGCAAACCAUGAUAGGAUACUUCAGGUUUAGUCAUUCUAUAAUGACUAAGGUCAGGUAGGACUUGGGAAGUGAGUUCAAAAUGGCAUCCUUGCCCAAUUGCUCGUGCAAAGGAAAGCCAAGUUUACUUAGGCGAUCGAUUUGUUCGACCAUGUACAAUACAUGAUCGGUGACCGAUGCCCCUUCUCUCAUGCGGGCAUUGAAUAUAGCGCAGGAGGUCUUAUGUCGUUCAACAUCAUCAGGUGUGCCGAAAGACUCCUUCAACAUUUGAAGGAUUUCCACUGGCUGCGCUUCCUCGAAUUUACGAC
This 350-nucleotide long non-coding RNA is filed under the name Phoenix dactylifera (date palm). Its description in RNAcentral is "long non-coding RNA (PDAC_LNC020397)". The record is from RNAcentral. Lineage: Eukaryota; Viridiplantae; Streptophyta; Magnoliopsida; Arecales; Arecaceae.